CCAAGGGCUGACACCCUUGGCUAGGAUAUUUCGCCCCGUGGGGCU
RNAcentral lists this small RNA (45 nucleotides) under Cyclobacterium marinum DSM 745. Its description in RNAcentral is "Acido-Lenti-1 RNA". It matches the Rfam family "Acido-Lenti-1 RNA". Lineage: Bacteria; Pseudomonadati; Bacteroidota; Cytophagia; Cytophagales; Cyclobacteriaceae. The record is from Rfam by way of RNAcentral.